This 24-nucleotide unclassified non-coding RNA is filed under the name Mus musculus (house mouse). Its description in RNAcentral is "oocyte_clustered_small_RNA10528". Lineage: Eukaryota; Metazoa; Chordata; Mammalia; Rodentia; Muridae. The record is from RNAcentral.
UAGCUGCUGGGGAUGUAACCUGUU